RNAcentral lists this unclassified non-coding RNA (1133 nucleotides) under Hevea brasiliensis (rubber tree). The record is from RNAcentral. Lineage: Eukaryota; Viridiplantae; Streptophyta; Magnoliopsida; Malpighiales; Euphorbiaceae.
GACUGUUGGCUAUGCUCCUCCAGAGUAUGGAAUGGGUGGCACUCCAUCAAAAGAGGGGGAUGUAUAUAGUUAUGGAAUCCUUUUAUUGGAGAUGAUCUCCGGUAAAAAACCAACAGAUAAAAUAUUUGAAGACCAUUUAAAUUUGCGCAAGUUUGUAAAGGAUGCAUUACCAGAAAGACUUGCACAGAUCAUAGACCCAAUCCUUCUCUUAAGAGGAAUGGAAGAAACACUAGUAACAAAUGCUGAAAUAGAUGGGCAGACAGAAAUACAUGCAGAAGAAGGGUUGAGCAAUGAUGGGAAGCUAAGCCGAACAACUAUUGCUAAAGAGGAAGAUGGCUUGCUUUCAGUAUUCAAAGUUGGAGUAGCCUGUUCAGCAGAAUCACCCAAAGAUAGAAUGAGUAUGAGGGAUGUUGUUAAAGAACUGCAUUUGAUUAGAAGUACUUUCCUCGGAGUUCGAAUCCAUGGUUAAAAACAGGCAAGUAAAACGCAAUUGACUAAAUUAAGUGUUUCUCGUAAGUGUUUGAAUGUCGUCUAAGUAGGUUCAUUUUGAGUAAUUUUGCAUUGCAAGUUAAUCUGAGCUAGUUAUCCGAAUAUUAUAAAAAAGAUUUCAUGCCAAUUUAAAAGUUGGAGGUUAUUUUCAUUCAAAAUGUUAAUUUUUAUUUGAAAUAUUAUUUUCAAAAUUGCUUUGUUCAUUUAAUUGUUAGUCAAUUUUGAGUUGGAUUGUUGGAUCUAGUGAGGAAUUGCCUCCUCUAAGUACAGCUAAAAAUGCUUCCAGCAAGGCAAUUUCAAUUAAUACAGAAAGUUGUUAAUAUAUUGGCUGAUCUUAAUAAUUUCUUUCUUUAAUUUCAGGUGAACAAUACUUACUAAAGAAGUCAUAUGGCUAGCUAGCUAGUAUGUUUCCAUUGUUAAGUCCUUGCAGAGUAUGUAAAGCUGUAGCUAUAUUUUUCUAAAGUUGUGCUGUUAGUUUAAACUUCCUGGACGAUUGUAUUUUCCUUUUAGUAGAAAACCAACAAUAUAGCUAGUCCAUGCCAAUGCAUGUAUAGGCAAAUGGUAUCUAAUUGACGUUUCUUCUAGUGUGCAUCUGGUAAUAAAUCGAUAUUGCUUAACUAUCAGCAAGCAUCGUUAAUUUUUUU